UAACGCGUGGGAAUCUGCCUAUCAGUGGGGAAUAACGACGGGAAACUGUCGCUAAUACCGCAUACGCCCUUAGGGGGAAAGAUUUAUCGCUGAUAGAUGAGCCCGCGUACGAUUAGCUAGUUGGUGAGGUAAUGGCUCACCAAGGCUACGAUCGUUAGCUGGUCUGAGAGGAUGAUCAGCCACACUGGGACUGAGACACGGCCCAGACUCCUACGGGAGGCAGCAGUGGGGAAUAUUGGACAAUGGGCGAAAGCCCGAUCCAGCAAUGCCGCGUGAGUGAUGAAGGCCUUAGGGUUGU
RNAcentral lists this ribosomal RNA (298 nucleotides) under uncultured Sphingomonadaceae bacterium. RNAcentral's name for it is "partial 16S ribosomal RNA". It matches the Rfam family "Bacterial small subunit ribosomal RNA", at positions 111 to 426 of the family's 1533-position model. The record is from RNAcentral. Lineage: Bacteria; Pseudomonadati; Pseudomonadota; Alphaproteobacteria; Sphingomonadales; Sphingomonadaceae.